GACGAACGCUGGUGGCGUGCUUAACACAUGCAAGUCGAGCGGAAAGGCCACUUCGGUGGUACUCGAGCGGCGAACGGGUGAGUAACACGUGAGUAAUCUGCCCCUGGCUUUGGGAUAGCCACCGGAAACGGUGAUUAAUACCGGAUACGACCACUUCUCGCAUGGGAUGGUGGUGGAAAGUUUUUUCGGCCAGGGAUGUGCUCGCGGCCUAUCAGCUUGAUGGUGAGGUAAUGGCUCACCAUGGCUUCGACGGGUAGCCGGCCUGAGAGGGUGACCGGUCACACUGGGACUGAGACACGGCCCAGACUCCUACGGGAGGCAGCAGUGGGAAAUAUUGGACAAUGGGCGGAAGCCUGAUCCAGCAACGCCGCGUGAGGGAUGACGGCCUUCGGGUUGUAAACCUCUUUCAGCAGGGACGAAGCGCAAGUGACGGUACCUGCGGAAGAAGCACCGGCCAACUACGUGCCAGCCGCCGCCGUAA
This 481-nucleotide ribosomal RNA is filed under the name uncultured bacterium. Its description in RNAcentral is "partial 16S ribosomal RNA". It matches the Rfam family "Bacterial small subunit ribosomal RNA", at positions 28 to 523 of the family's 1533-position model. The record is from RNAcentral.